UCUGGGAAACUGCCUGAUGGAGGGGGAUAACUACUGGAAACGGUGGCUAAUACCGCAUAACGUCGCAAGACCAAAGAGGGGGACCUUCGGGCCUCUUGCCAUCAGAUGUGCCCAGAUGGGAUUAGCUAGUUGGUGAGGUAACGGCUCACCAAGGCGACGAUCCCUAGCUGGUCUGAGAGGAUGACCAGCCACACUGGAACUGAGACACGGUCCAGACUCCUACGGGAGGCAGCAGUGGGGAAUAUUGCACAAUGGGCGCAAGCCUGAUGCAGCCAUGCCGCGUGUAUGAAGAAGGCCUUCGGGUUGUAAAGUACUUUCAGCGGGGAGGAAGGUGUUGUGGUUAAUAACC
Molecule: ribosomal RNA, 349 nt
Filed under: Salmonella enterica subsp. enterica serovar Uganda
Lineage: Bacteria; Pseudomonadati; Pseudomonadota; Gammaproteobacteria; Enterobacterales; Enterobacteriaceae
Description: bacterial SSU rRNA
Rfam family: Bacterial small subunit ribosomal RNA
Source: RNAcentral